GGGGCUGUCGGCUAGCCAGGUCUAGAAGGCUUAUCAUGAAAAGCCCGGACUGGCCGCGUGGCUUGGGCCCACGAAAUCGCCGGUUCAAAUCCGGCCAGCCCCACCA
RNAcentral lists this transfer RNA (106 nucleotides) under Crenarchaeota archaeon 13_1_20CM_2_51_8. RNAcentral's name for it is "tRNA-Pro". It matches the Rfam family "tRNA". Rfam says of the family: Transfer RNA (tRNA) molecules are approximately 80 nucleotides in length. Their secondary structure includes four short double-helical elements and three loops (D, anti-codon, and T loops). RNAcentral also lists the same sequence under 1 other name. Lineage: Archaea; Thermoproteati; Thermoproteota. The record is from RNAcentral.